GCCGGGGGAUGCAAGCGUUAUCCGGAGUCACUGGGCGUAAAGCGUCUUGAGGUGGUGAUGCAAGUCACUGGUGCAAAACUCUGGCUCAACCGGAGGAAAGCCAGUGAAACUGCAUGACUAGAGUGUGGGAGAGGUAGAAGGAAUUCCCUGAGUAGCGGUGAAAUGCGUAGAUACAGGGAAGAACACCGGAGGCGAAAGCGUACUACGGGAACUCAACUGACAAUGAGAGAUGAAAGCUAGGGGAGCGAAUGGG
Molecule: ribosomal RNA, 253 nt
Filed under: uncultured bacterium
Lineage: Bacteria
Description: partial 16S ribosomal RNA
Rfam family: Bacterial small subunit ribosomal RNA
Source: RNAcentral